AGAUUAGAUACCCUGGUAGUCCACGCCGUAAACGAUGAUAACUAGUUGUUGGGAGGCUUAGACCUCUUUGUGACGAAGCUAACGCGAUAAGUUAUCCGCCUGGGGAGUACGGUCGCAAGACUAAAACUCAAAGGAAUUGACGGGGACCCGCACAAGCGGUGGAGCAUGUUGUUUAAUUCGAAGCAACGCGAAGAACCUUACCCACACUUGACAUCCUUCUUGGGACUUUCAGAGAUGAUUGUCUUCGGUUCGGCCGGGGAAGUGACAGGUGCUGCAUGGCUGUCGUCAGCUCGUGCCG
This 298-nucleotide ribosomal RNA is filed under the name uncultured bacterium. RNAcentral's name for it is "partial 16S ribosomal RNA". It matches the Rfam family "Bacterial small subunit ribosomal RNA", at positions 775 to 1067 of the family's 1533-position model. The record is from RNAcentral.